Ochotona princeps (American pika) is the source of this 104-nucleotide small nuclear RNA. The record is from RefSeq and is a predicted model, not a curated record. NCBI's taxonomy places the organism in Eukaryota, Metazoa, Chordata, Mammalia, Lagomorpha, Ochotonidae.
AUGCUCACUUCAGCAGCACAUGUACUAAAAUUGGAACAAUACAGAGAUUAGCAUAGCCUCUGCACAAGGGUGACAUGCAAAUUCAAGAAGUGCUUCAUGUUUUG